GACAGAGGGGGCAAGCGUUGUCCGGAUUUACUGGGCGUAAAGCGUCCGCAGGUGGUUGGUCAAGUAGCAACUGAAAGCGCGGGGCUUAACUCCGCGUCGCGUCGCUAAACUGGCCGACUCGAGGCGUGCAGAGGGCUGUGGAAUUGCCGGUGUAGUGGUGAAAUGCGUAGAGAUCGGCAGGAACACCAAGGGCGAAAGCAGCAGCCUGGGCACGACCUGACACUCAGGGACGACAGCGUGGGGAGCAAACGGG
Molecule: ribosomal RNA, 253 nt
Filed under: uncultured bacterium
Lineage: Bacteria
Description: partial 16S ribosomal RNA
Rfam family: Bacterial small subunit ribosomal RNA
Source: RNAcentral